This 546-nucleotide ribosomal RNA is filed under the name uncultured bacterium. Its description in RNAcentral is "bacterial SSU rRNA". It matches the Rfam family "Bacterial small subunit ribosomal RNA", at positions 356 to 896 of the family's 1533-position model. The record is from RNAcentral.
GGGGAAUAUUGCGCAAUGGGGGCAACCCUGACGCAGCCAUGCCGCGUGAAUGAAGAAGGCCUUCGGGUUGUAAAGUUCUUUCGGUAGCGAGGAAGGCAUUUAGUUUAAUAAACUAGGUGAUUGACGUUAACUACAGAAGAAGCACCGGCUAACUCCGUGCCAGCAGCCGCGGUAAUACGGAGGGUGCGAGCGUUAAUCGGAAUAACUGGGCGUAAAGGGCACGCAGGCGGUGACUUAAGUGAGGUGUGAAAGCCCCGGGCUUAACCUGGGAAUUGCAUUUCAUACUGGGUCGCUAGAGUACUUUAGGGAGGGGUAGAAUUCCACGUGUAGCGGUGAAAUGCGUAGAGAUGUGGAGGAAUACCGAAGGCGAAGGCAGCCCCUUGGGAAUGUACUGACGCUCAUGUGCGAAAGCGUGGGGAGCAAACAGGAUUAGAUACCCUGGUAGUCCACGCUGUAAACGAUGUCGAUUUGGGGGUUGAACUUUAGGUUUGGCGCCCGUAGCUAACGUGAUAAAUCGACCGCCUGGGGAGUACGGCCGCAAGGUUA